GCGGGAGUAGCCCAGUGGUUUAGGGUACUGUCUUCCCAUUGCUUUGCAUGCAAUUCACUUGCGUGUUUCUUUGAGCAAGGCAGGGGUCGGGGGUUCGAAUCCCUCCUUCCGCA
This is a non-coding RNA of Mytilinidion resinicola, 113 nucleotides long. Lineage: Eukaryota; Fungi; Ascomycota; Dothideomycetes; Mytilinidiales; Mytilinidiaceae. The record is from the annotation of a RefSeq genome assembly.